Molecule: ribosomal RNA, 254 nt
Filed under: uncultured bacterium
Lineage: Bacteria
Description: partial 16S ribosomal RNA
Rfam family: Bacterial small subunit ribosomal RNA
Source: RNAcentral
GACGUAGGGCGCGAGCGUUGUCCGGAUUUAUUGGGCGUAAAGAGCUCGUAGGCGGCUCGUCGCGUCGACCGUGAAAACCCGCGGCUUAACUGCGGGCUUGCGGUUGAUACGGGCGGGCUAGAGUUCGGUAGGGGAGACUGGAAUUCCUGGUGGUAGCGGUGAAAUGCGCAGAUAUCAGGAGGAACACCGGUGGCGAAGGCGGGUCUCUGGGCCGAUACUGACGCUGAGGAGCGAAAGCGUGGGGAGCGAACAGG